CGUAAAGACGCAUGCAGGUGGUUUGUUUAAGUUCAGAUGUGAAAGACCCGGGGCGCAACCUCGGAACUGCAUUUGAAACUAGGCAGACUAGAGUACUGUAGAGGGGGGUAGGGAAUUUCAGGUGUAGCGGUGAAAUAGCGUAGAGAUCUGAAGGAAUACCGGUGGCGAAGGCGGCCCCCUCGGACAGAUACUGACACUCAGAUGCGAAAGCGUGGGGAGCAAACAGGAUUAGAUACCCUGGGAG
Molecule: ribosomal RNA, 244 nt
Filed under: uncultured bacterium
Lineage: Bacteria
Description: partial 16S ribosomal RNA
Rfam family: Bacterial small subunit ribosomal RNA
Source: RNAcentral